Long non-coding RNA from Mauremys mutica (yellowpond turtle), 1304 nucleotides. RefSeq lists it as uncharacterized. The record is from RefSeq and is a predicted model, not a curated record. Lineage: Eukaryota; Metazoa; Chordata; Testudines; Geoemydidae. The transcript has 3 exons.
CAUCCUUAUAAGGAGACAUGAACAGUCCUCAGCUUUCUGCCUUCUGAAUAACUGGCUUGCCGAGGAAAAAGAAGUCGCAUGUCAGAGUCUACUGCCCUCAUGCGAUGGAAAGCAAGCGAGAGGGACGAGGCUGCGAGCAUUGUUGAUGCCACGAAAAAGCCGUCCAACUGGGAUCAGAACAGCUGCUACUGUCAGUGAGAUAAGUGACUGGUUUGGUGAGGGAUCUGCUCACGGCCCACUUGCCUCCACGUAGGGAAACCCCGUUACCUGGGGGUGGGUUUGUAUGAAAAGGUUCCUGACUAGCUGCGGUUAUAAGGGAGACAAGGUCCCCAUUUUCAGGGGCUGCUCAUGUCUCUGGCCAGGACCGGUGUGUCCUACGCAGCAGAAGGUUAGUUCCAGCAGGAUGAAUCCAGGUGCUGAGUUGCUUGCCUUCCUCCCAUGUUCCCCUCGCUCUUUUCUCUGUGUUGGCCAGCACGCACUCACUCAUUCUCUCUCUCUCUCUCUCUGUCCUUGCCUCUCCUUGUGGUGUCUCCCUUCAUAGGACACGGGCAGGUGUGCUAGGGAUGCAUCCCCACGGGGUAGAUCUCGGGAGCCAUGAAGAAGUAGGAGGGGACGAAAAUCAUGCAGGGUAGUGGGUGCAAGAGUGGAGGAAGGUACUGGAAGGUCUUGUGCACCUAUAGUGUGUUUGGCAGUGAUGGGUCUUCCAUAGGUGGUUUGCUGUUCUUGUGGAGGGCUGCUCCAGGGCAGCGGAGCAUCUGCAUGAAGCAGACCUGCACGAUGUAGCUGUUUCACUUUGCAGUGGAGCCGAGGAGCUCUCUUGUAAUGUUGGAGGAGCCAGGUGUGUGUUUUUGUGAAAUGAUAUUUCUCUAUCCAGUAUCUGCAGAGUGAAGUGCCUCGUGGAGAGCAGAGAGAUGCUUCUCCUAUCCAUGGGAAGGUCCAGCUCUGCCUGUGGCUGGCAGUGGUCUGGGAUUGUCCCUUUCCUGGAGGGCUGUAGCUCCUUAGGAGUGGUGAGUAUUUUAGGCCCUGGGUAAGCUGAAGAAGAAUAAAGGAGGGAGCAGCAGCCAGUGACGUGUGUCCGUUGUUCUUCCAUGCACAAGUGGUGACCUAGCUUACAAGUGUUCUCUCUCUUUCUCUUUUCAGUCGUACUGAGAUUGGUCAGAUGAGAGAUCGGCCAACCUGUGGCAGAGACCAAAGAAGGAGCAGCCACCCGGAGCCCAUCCCUAGGGAUGGAAGGCAGACAAUGAUCUGCCGAAGAAAUCAUCGGGGAGCAGCAGCAGGAGGAGAAACUAGCAGACGCGGACCUG